Molecule: ribosomal RNA, 264 nt
Filed under: uncultured archaeon
Lineage: Archaea
Description: partial 16S ribosomal RNA
Rfam family: Archaeal small subunit ribosomal RNA
Source: RNAcentral
AGUCACUGACAUUAGAUACCCGCGUAGUCCCAGCCGUAAACAAUGUGCGUUUAGGUGUGUCGGUAACCACGCGUUACUGAUGCGCCGAAGAGAAAUCGUGAAACGCACCACCUGGGAAGUACGGUCGCAAGGCUGAAACUUAAAGGAAUUGCGGGGAGCACCACAACAGGUGGAGCCUGCGGUUUAAUUGGAUUCAACGCCGGACAUCUCACCGGAUAAGACAGCUGAAUGAUUGUCAAUCUGAAGGUUUUACAUGACUAGCUG